Molecule: ribosomal RNA, 134 nt
Filed under: uncultured eukaryote
Lineage: Eukaryota
Description: partial small subunit ribosomal RNA
Rfam family: Eukaryotic small subunit ribosomal RNA
Source: RNAcentral
CCCUGCCAUUUGUACACACCGCCCGUCGCUAGUACCGAUUGAAUGGCUUAGUGAGACCUCCGGAUCCGCGCACCUCUGAUGGCAACAUCGCUGGUGUGCAGAGAAGCUGGUCAAACUUGGUCAUUUAGAGGAAC